RNAcentral lists this ribosomal RNA (478 nucleotides) under uncultured bacterium. Its description in RNAcentral is "partial 16S ribosomal RNA". It matches the Rfam family "Bacterial small subunit ribosomal RNA", at positions 28 to 523 of the family's 1533-position model. The record is from RNAcentral.
GACGAACGCUGGCGGCGUGCUUAACACAUGCAAGUCGAACGGUAAGGCCCUUCGGGGUACACGUGUGGCGAACGGGUGAGUAACACGUGGGUGAUCUGCCCUGCACUUCGGGAUAAGCCUGGGAAACUGGGUCUAAUACCGGAUAGGACUCCGGACUGCAUGGUCUGGGGUGGAAAGCUUUUGCGGUGUGGGAUGGGCCCGCGGCCUAUCAGCUUGUUGGUGGGGUGAUGGCCUACCAAGGCGACGACGGGUAGCCGGCCUGAGAGGGUGACCGGCCACACUGGGACUGGGAUACGGCCCAGACUCCUACGGGAGGCAGCAGUGGGGAAUAUUGCACAAUGGGCGCAAGCCUGAUGCAGCGACGCCGCGUGAGGGAUGACGGCCUUCGGGUUGUAAACCUCUUUCAGCAUCGACGAAGCGAAAGUGACGGUAGGUGCAGAAGAAGGACCGGCCAACUACGUGCCAGCCGCCGCAGUAA